RNAcentral lists this long non-coding RNA (340 nucleotides) under Eucalyptus grandis. RNAcentral's name for it is "long non-coding RNA (EGRA_LNC003001)". Lineage: Eukaryota; Viridiplantae; Streptophyta; Magnoliopsida; Myrtales; Myrtaceae. The record is from RNAcentral.
CCUUAGCCUCAGUUCCAACCUGCAAUUCAAGGUUAAACAUAGAUAUUCAAACAAUUCACGACAUUCGAUCAAGCACUGGUCAAUCGACUAAGUCGAUUACAUGUCAGCCAGACACUUUCUAGGUCAUUCCCACUCAUACCACGAUUUCCCAGCGGUGUACUCAUUCACCAAAUCACAUGUGUUUCUCGGGCGUCGUUUUCGCCAAUGACAUACCGAUCACCGACACCGUGCGUUCUUUAAGGCGCCGUUUUCACCAGUGAUAACCUUGAUCACCGAACCACGUGUCCUUUCAAGGGCGCCGUUUUCGCCAAGGUGACAUCGGCUAUAGACAACAUCGUGC